Long non-coding RNA from Phyllopteryx taeniolatus (common seadragon), 513 nucleotides. RefSeq lists it as uncharacterized. The record is from RefSeq and is a predicted model, not a curated record. The transcript is spliced from 3 exons. NCBI's taxonomy places the organism in Eukaryota, Metazoa, Chordata, Actinopteri, Syngnathiformes, Syngnathidae.
CUUUCAACCGCUCAGCCAGAGUUUGCUUUCUUAUUUUGCUAUUGAGGUUCUUAUCCUGUCUCCUUCUUGUAGUAGCUUGGCAUCUGCUAUCCCUUCACCUGGUUUGCUGCUAUCAAUUCUUCCACCUGCCCUCUAUAUUGCUGUCACUAACGAAGUGUCCAGCCAGCGCAUUGACACAAAAGUCCAACUUGCGUUCAACUCGAAAUCGCCAAAGAUCUUCUCUGGUGCGACCAGUCGGUUCAUCUUGGCAGCUUUUUUCACGAUGGCCUCUGCCUCCAUCACUCGGCCCUGAGACAGCAGCCACAUGGGAGACUCUGGGAGGACCCUGUCACACACACGAGCAAUGGGGGGAUGUAGAAGAGGCCAGGCAGCCCAAUGGCCAGCAACAGAGUCUUCCAGCUCCGGAGGAAGUAGGCGAAGAGCGGCAGCAUCAUGUAGCCCAAGGUGAAGCCCAGAGAUGCAGCAGCCGAUGAGUAAAUCACCCGAGCGUUGCCCGUGAGGAUUUCUGUGCCU